UACGUAGGGUGCGAGCGUUAAUCGGAAUUACUGGGCGUAAAGCGUGCGCAGGCGGUUCGUUAAGUCAGCUGUGAAAGCCCCGGGCUCAACCUGGGAAUUGCGGUUGAAACUGGCGAACUAGAAUCUGGCAGAGGAGGGUGGAAUUCCACGUGUAGCAGUGAAAUGCGUAGAGAUGUGGAGGAACACCGAUGGCGAAGGCAGCCCCCUGGGCUGAGAUUGACGCUCAGGCACGAAAGCGUGGGGAGCAAACAGG
This 253-nucleotide ribosomal RNA is filed under the name uncultured bacterium. Its description in RNAcentral is "partial 16S ribosomal RNA". It matches the Rfam family "Bacterial small subunit ribosomal RNA", at positions 524 to 776 of the family's 1533-position model. The record is from RNAcentral.